ACAACCCAAUCCCAAAAUCCGCAUUUCUCACUACAACAGAGAAAUAAUCUCCCUUUAUUUACUGUCUGCUUCUCUACCAUGAAACACUUUUCAAAUCCAUUCUUGCAUGCCCGGCAUCUGCGCUUCCUUGGGCAUUCAUCAAAGAAAUGGCCCCUAGCUCUACAACUAUGACACAUUCCUCUAUUCUUUCCGUCUAUUCUGCCUUACGAAUAAACUACGAUUAACAGAAAUAAAUUCACGGUCACUAUAACAAUUAAAGAAACGACUUCAAUGUUGGAGAACAUUGAUAAUUUCAUCUCAAAUUUCAUAGUGAUUGUGCAAUAAUAGGCUGUGAUUGUUGAUAAUUACUGACAUGUUGGAAUGCAACAUACAGAGUUUUCUUCAUCAGUAAUGUACCAUGUUAGACCCCUUCAAUUUAGCAGCAGUAAACUAUGAACAACCAUGGAGGUGAACACUAGAAAAUAACAAAAACACAAACAACAGCUUUAUAGUGACACAGGAAAUAGUGAUAACGAUGCAUAAUGACAUUGCACAAUGAAAUUAAAAAGAAUAAAAAUUUCAUACAAACACACCAAUAGUUCACCAACAAUUCACAAAUUUGUUAUACGAAUUUAAUAAAAAAUGUGCAAAACCACGAGAUGAAGAUUGCAAUAUCCCGAAGUUCAGCUACGUGAUGCCAUAUCACAAACAAAGCUUUGUCGGUUGACAAUGGUGAAUCGAGAGCUGGUGGAAAUGGAUGGAAACGACAACAAACCCGUGGCCGAAAAUGGUGAGGCGAUGGCCAAACCCCCCGAUCGAAAUGCAGUCAGAGCGCCAAUGGUGACGUCGUCUGAAGUGUGGCCGGAGAUGGUGAAAUUCGGGUUCCAACUUGGGAGAUUUGAUUUGGGGGCUUAGGGUUCCUUUUGGGAUAAAAUGGCACAAUCAAGUCUUGCUUUGGACAGACUUUAUUCUCUCUCUUUUAAUCAAUGCCGUCAGUCGGGAACUUAACCCUAUCAUCAAUCCCUGUUUGCCUAGCGGGAUUGUUCAUGAUAAUUGAUUUGUGU
This 1043-nucleotide long non-coding RNA is filed under the name Olea europaea (common olive). RNAcentral describes it as "long non-coding RNA (OEUR_LNC003265)". Lineage: Eukaryota; Viridiplantae; Streptophyta; Magnoliopsida; Lamiales; Oleaceae. The record is from RNAcentral.